CCUGGCCGCCUCUAUAAUGCAGUCGACGGGGUAUGUAGCGAUAUGUACCCAGUGGCGAACGGGUGAGUAACGCGUUGGUGACCUGCCCCAAAGCGGGGGAUAACAGUUCGAAAGGGCUGCUAAUACCCCAUGAGUUCGCAGUAGUUAGAGAGCUGCGAAGAAAGGGAUGAAAGCGAAAGCGGACAUUUCACUUUGGGAGGGACCUGCGACGCAUCAGCUAGUUGGUAAGGUAACGGCCUACCAAGGCGACGACGGGUAGGGGGCCUGAGAGGGUGGCCCCCCACACUGGCACUGAAACACGGGCCAGACACCUACGGGUGGCAGCAGUAGGGAAUAUUGCACAAUGGGCGGAAGCCUGAUGCAGCAACGCCGCGUGCGCGAUGAAGGCCUUCGGGUCGUAAAGCGCUUUUCUGGGAGACGAGGAAGGACGGUAUCCCAGGAAUAAGUCUCGGCUAACUACGUGCCAGCAGCCGCGGUAAAACGUAGGAGACAAGCGUUAUCCGAAUUUACUGGGCGUAAAGCGCAAGCAGGUGGUUAGGUAAGUUGAAUGUGAAAUCUCCUGGCUCAACUGGGAGGGGCCGUUCAAGACUGCCUGGCUAGAGGGCGGUAGAGGGAGGUGGAAUUCCCGGUGUAGUGGUGAAAUGCGUAGAUAUCGGGAGGAACACCUGUGGCGAAAGCGGCCUCCUGGACCGUACCUGACGCUAAGAUGCGAAAGCUAGGGGAGUGAACGGGAUUAGAAACCCCGGUAAUCCUAGCCGUAAACGAUGUGGACUGGGUGUUGGUGGGGUAAAAGCCAUCGGUGCCGAAGCAAACGCGAUAAGUCCACCGCCUGGGGACUACGGCCGCAAGGUUAAAACUCAAAGGAAUUGACGG
This 873-nucleotide ribosomal RNA is filed under the name uncultured Chloroflexota bacterium. RNAcentral describes it as "bacterial SSU rRNA". It matches the Rfam family "Bacterial small subunit ribosomal RNA", at positions 35 to 916 of the family's 1533-position model. The record is from RNAcentral. Lineage: Bacteria; Bacillati; Chloroflexota.